This 315-nucleotide ribosomal RNA is filed under the name Triticum aestivum (bread wheat). RNAcentral describes it as "partial small subunit ribosomal RNA". The record is from RNAcentral. Lineage: Eukaryota; Viridiplantae; Streptophyta; Magnoliopsida; Poales; Poaceae.
AUGUCUCUUUGCCUUUGGAAGAACACACCUUCUGCUGAAUGGAUGGUGGAUGGCGGGACUUUCCCAGGGUUGUCUGAGUCCCGCCAUCCACCUGCCACCUCUUUUAGGAAUUCAAGGAUGGUUGGUGCAUUGACAAAGAUAGUUCUUCUGGAGUUGUGUUUCCUUGGAGGUGACUGGCAUUGGUCGAGAACCAGCUCUAUGGGUGAGUUUAGAGCAGGCUCUUUUGCGUUGGAGCUUGUAUUAUGGGCGUUUGAGUUAAGAGUGGUGUUUGCUACUCACUGCGUUGUGGCGAGAGCUUGUCCGAAUUUCUUGUAA